Long non-coding RNA from Varroa destructor (honeybee mite), 1652 nucleotides. The record is from RefSeq and is a predicted model, not a curated record. Lineage: Eukaryota; Metazoa; Arthropoda; Arachnida; Mesostigmata; Varroidae.
UGAUUUUGGCAGAACGCUGUUGUAGUUACCCAUCAGAUUACUACUGCUACGUUAAUGAAUACUGCCAACGGCGGAAUGUGUUCACGUUUGCAGUGUCCGAGCGUCCUGGACGAUCAGAUCGUGAAUGUUAAUGUGACGAAAUGGCUAAGCGAGAAAGCCCACUAAAAAUUAAAAUGGAACCCAGUUACGAAGCAGUUUGUUAAAACACGUACCGCACUCAGACCAGGGCUAAUGCAAUGACUGGCUCCGGACUUACUCCUGAAUCCUUCGUUUAUCCAGCUGGAACGGGCUCUGAUUACAACAAACGUGUAUCACGCACAUCCAUUGUAGAGCUCAGCGCACUUCAUUAUUGGCCAGGCCGAAGCGGACAGGCGAUAUACCCUGUUAGCAGUCCUUUUUAUGACCUUUCAAUAAGGCCCAGACGUAUAUUUCUGUGCGACCAAAGGAUCAUCUUUGCAGUUGUCAGUGAGUAUAAAACAACCGUUUUCAUAAUUGCAAUCAUCUGCGUGUAUUUUCUGUUCACGUUGCCGACUCAAGGGGUGCUUUUAUUUACCUGACCUCCCGCAAAAAAUGCGCCUUUUAACAGGACCGAGAGAAAUACAGAGGUGCUUCAGAGGGCCAUCUACACAGCUUGGUACUACGAUGUCAGAUGAAUGAAGCUUGCUCCUUUCGUCCUACUGAUGGCGAACUGGCCCUCUAGGAUUCUGUAGUCCAAUUACUGAUGUUUCCUUUAACAUUUCUCGAUUCAGAUCAAACCUUGUUAAUUUCUUAGUGUUUUCAUUUUCUUUUUUAAGACUAUUUUCACAAUGUAAACAAAUUAUAGUAAUUACCUCUUCGGUAAAAGAUCGACCAAACCUUAUUUAAGAUAGUAUUCCUAUUAGCCACAAAGGCAUCCAUUGUGUAGGCAGUGCAUAUGUUCGCCGUAUCAAACCACUAUUGUAGAACCUGCAGAAAAUGGAGCCACGUGUUUUACUAAAUAACUGAAGUUACUGCUGUAACCUAUUGGGACGACAAAUCUGAGCUGGCAUUUGUUAUCCACUAUUUCAUACGGUUAUUAAUGUUGAUCUAUUCCUCUGCUACGACGAGACAGAGAGGGAACGGAUUUUCAUUAUAUAUAUGUGGAACUCAAUCUAUUUCAACUGCCGAUACUGCUUUAGUUAGUCAUUGCUUUAGAUGACUGGGUUGAAAAAAUGUACAUAUACGUCCGGUUUUGAAUCUCACGUGUCCCUAAAUGUGCUUAGUAAACGCGUUAUCUUUGAACUAUCACAUGGACUAAAGGAUUAAGCUUAGCAGUUACCAGCUGGGACCUGUCCCAAAUUCGAAACGAUUCCUAAUCAUGCAGUUUGACCAACGGUAAUGUAAUUUUAGUUGUUUUUUUGUAGUACAUGCCCUAUUUUAUGCUGAGUCAAGAACAGUUAACAUUCAUCGAUUCAUUUUCAUGGCUACAAAAAGGUCUUCUAUGCACUUCCUGUUUAUGUGCUCGCUUGAAGUUUGCUUUACUAGCGAUGUUGAAUGGAGCCAUACAUCAGGAUCGGAUGACGCAUUAUAGUUGUACUUGUAACCGAAAAUGAAAUCUAGUGUACAAGCGGCAUCCGGUACUUUUCAGCUCCUAUUUCUGUAUAGAUAAAACACUCGAAUCUUUUUCUGACUUU